This 220-nucleotide ribosomal RNA is filed under the name uncultured bacterium. RNAcentral describes it as "partial 16S ribosomal RNA". It matches the Rfam family "Bacterial small subunit ribosomal RNA", at positions 521 to 740 of the family's 1533-position model. The record is from RNAcentral.
UAAUACGAAGGGGGCUAGCGUUGUUCGGAAUUACUGGGCGUAAAGCGUAUGCAGGCGGAUCGCUAAGUCAGGGGUGAAAUCCCGAGGCUCAACCUCGGAACUGCCUUUGAUACUGACGAUCUUGAGUCCGGGAGAGGUGAGUGGAACUGCGAGUGUAGAGGUGAAAUUCGUAGAUAUUCGCAAGAACACCAGUGGCGAAGGCGGCUCACUGGCCCGGUAC